Piliocolobus tephrosceles (Ugandan red Colobus) is the source of this 265-nucleotide long non-coding RNA. RefSeq lists it as uncharacterized. NCBI's taxonomy places the organism in Eukaryota, Metazoa, Chordata, Mammalia, Primates, Cercopithecidae. The transcript has 3 exons. The record is from RefSeq and is a predicted model, not a curated record.
UUUCUACAUCAGUCUGUGCAGAAGGAGCUUAGGCCCAGAAUCCUGCAUGGAGAGCUUUCCAGCACCUGUGACAAGCCUCAGCUGGCCUGCUGGAUAAUAAACCCAUGUGGAUGGAGAGAGGUCCCUUAUCCCCACCAAACCUGUUGAUGCUACAGAGAUGUAAAGGAGCCCACCUGAGAAAAGCUGAACCUGCCUAGUGCAUAAAGACCACCCAGAGACGGAGUCUUUCUCGGUCGCCCAGGCUGGAGUACAGUGGCGUGAUCUC